GCAAACAGGAAGACAGACGAUGGCUCUCGCACAUUCAUAACUCUGACAGAGAGGCAGUGACUCUUGUCUCAAACCGACGGACACAAUUAUGGUUCAUUUGACUGUAAUUCACCCUCCCAGCAGAGUGGCUUUAAUUGACUGCAUCUCGGGAGAGAUUGCACUCCAACCCUGAAGCCAUGGCCACUUCUUGUAAUAGGCUUUGUUUUCAUUAAUUAGUAGACGGCGCUGCUAACCGGUGGCGUCCCCAGCCCACUGUGCGGGCGCUGCAGAUCACGCUGCCUGCCCAGGCACUGUUCCCCACUGCCCCGCAAGCCAACGCCGUCGGGCGCUCAUUCACCGAGCGGGUCCCCAUUUCUGAAAGGCGACCAGAGCAAGCAGCACCUGAUGCACGCUUUGCUAACGGAGAGCUUUCUCUGUGCUGGCCAGUGAGGUACAGGAUGCGGCUCUACAUCCUGUGUUCGGGUCAGUGUGUGCAAAGCCCUUUCGCUGUGAAGCCCGGCGACAUGGCUGUGUGCCAGGGCACCGAGCAGCAGGACAUGAGCUCUGACGACAAUACGCAGAUCAAUCAGUCCACCCCGACAUGUGAAAAGCAGCACAGGGUCCUCCCGCUACGCAAGACUCUUCCUCUAUCUCCCACCUUAAAAAUGAAAUUAUUUUUGAUUGGGUACACUAAAAAAACACACAAAUAAAUGGAUAAUUAUGACUGUAAAAUUUAAAGUUGCAUACGAGCAUUUUUAAAAGCAUAACUAUUAAAACACAAUGGUGAUUUCUGUAGACGCCGGUACGUUGCUUCCACAUGUUUCAUGACUCUGAUUGGAUGUAUGGAUUGAAGACAGCUGCAGACCCAGACGCCAUUUGAAGAGGGAUUAAUCUUCAGAGCUACAGUAUGUGACUGUCACCGAGUGGCAAGACACAGCUUCUCAAGGUGGCCUGUGCUAUGAGCUGGGAAUCCAGAUGCUGGGCGCGGACCCUGGGGAAGAAGAAGAGUGCUGCGACAAUAGACAGGGGUAUUAAUUAUCAUGGAGAGGUGCU
Molecule: long non-coding RNA, 1032 nt
Organism: Anguilla anguilla (European eel)
Lineage: Eukaryota; Metazoa; Chordata; Actinopteri; Anguilliformes; Anguillidae
Exons: 3
Source: RefSeq, a predicted model, not a curated record